Rosa chinensis is the source of this 1090-nucleotide long non-coding RNA. RefSeq lists it as uncharacterized. Lineage: Eukaryota; Viridiplantae; Streptophyta; Magnoliopsida; Rosales; Rosaceae. The record is from RefSeq and is a predicted model, not a curated record. The transcript is spliced from 4 exons.
CUCUCGGCAACACCUCUUUCUCUCCCUCAACAGAGACCCAAAACCAAAACCUCACUCUCCCAAACCCUCACUCUUCGCUGGCGCCUCACCUUAAAAACCAAAACCAGGCUCUCUAAUCGAUUAAUGCCCUAAACCCAAAAUGAGUCGUCCUCCGAUGUCUCUUCCAGAUCCCCAUUACACUGCUGAAUUCGAAAUCCCCAAUUUUCUAGGGUUUCAAUUUUUAAUCUCAAGAGGAAAAUGUUGAAGCGGAAGGCAUCAUGGAAGAGGAUGUUCCCCCUCACCAUCUCCGGUACCUGCCUCUCAAGGCCAUCAUCGCCAAUAAUCCAAGUGUCGUCAUCUUCUUCAUCGAUCUGAGGGCUUGUCCGACAACCGCUACUAUGGCGGCAAUGAGUACAUCGCCAUGUUCCAGCCCCAUGACCGAAUCAUGGGCUCCCCUCUGUUGGUCACUUGACCUAUGGUUACUACACCUCCGGCGAGAAGAAGAUCUCAACCAACUCUCUCUCUUCCUCUAGUCUGAAAUCCAAGCUAGCUAUCACCGUCAGCCAGCCCUCUUCUGCUUCGCUUCAAUUCAAUUAUAGCAGAAUUCUGGAUCACCGGAACUUCAUGUGCCACUGUAGCUUGCAGACAUGCUUGGCAACUGAGUCUAUUUUAUCACUGGUCAAAAUGAGAUGAUAUUCUCCAUGACGAGGAAGCCUUGUCUACCGCAACAUGUUUGGCGCUUUUGAUGUCUUAGAAGAAAUGAAGGCAGAGACGACACAGCCUAUAGAACCUGAUCACACAACUGGGAUAAUGAAGAUGAGUUCGACAAGAUCACACAACCUAUAGCACUUUAUCUUCUUCUUCAGCUAAUCUGGGCUUUGUGGAGCAACCGACUUCUUGAGUUGCAGAACUCUUCAGAAUCUGCUAUUUAUAUUGCAAUGGCAACAAGCAAGGGAUGUGAAGGAGACCUAGGUGUAGCAAAGAAUGUAGAGACGGUGAUGCAGCAAGAAAGCACAUACAGAAGCUUCCAAAGCUAGACUCCAAUGAGGCCAUGAGAGCAGCAAAGUUAGACUCCUUAAGUAAAUUUCUCGAUGUAUAUUGCUAGGAGAGU